AUUGAACGCUGGCGGCAGGCCUAACACAUGCAAGUCGAACGAGUGGCGUACGGGUGAGUAAUUUCUGGGAAACUGCCUGAUGGAGUGGGAUAACUCCUGGAAACGGUAGCUAAUACCGCAUACCAUCCGAUUUGCCCAGAUGGGAUUAGCUUGUUGGUGUGGUAACGGCUCACAAAGGCGACGAUCCCUAUCUUGUAGGAGAGGAUGACCAGCCCCACUGGAACUGAGACACGGUCCAGACGCCUACUGGAGGCAGCAGUGGGGAAUAUUGCACAAUGGGAGCAAGCCGGAUGCAGCCAUGCCGCGUGUAUGAAGAAGGCCUUCGGGUUGUAAAGUACUUUCAGCGGGGAGGCGUUACCCGCAGAAGAAGCACCGGCUAACUCCGUGCCAGCAGCCGCGGUAAUUC
Molecule: ribosomal RNA, 406 nt
Filed under: uncultured bacterium
Lineage: Bacteria
Description: partial 16S ribosomal RNA
Rfam family: Bacterial small subunit ribosomal RNA
Source: RNAcentral